RNAcentral lists this ribosomal RNA (41 nucleotides) under Aphelenchoides fragariae. RNAcentral describes it as "partial 18S ribosomal RNA". The record is from RNAcentral. Lineage: Eukaryota; Metazoa; Nematoda; Chromadorea; Rhabditida; Aphelenchoididae.
CGUAACAAGGUAGCUGUAGGUGAACCUGCAGAUGGAUCAUA